RNAcentral lists this ribosomal RNA (440 nucleotides) under uncultured bacterium. Its description in RNAcentral is "partial 16S ribosomal RNA". It matches the Rfam family "Bacterial small subunit ribosomal RNA", at positions 338 to 795 of the family's 1533-position model. The record is from RNAcentral.
CCUACGGGAGGCAGCAGUGGGGAAUAUUGCACAAUGGGGGAAACCCUGAUGCAGCGACGCCGCGUGAGUGAAGAAGUAUUUCGGUAUGUAAAGCUCUAUCAGCAGGGGAGAAAAUGACGGUACCUGACUAAGAAUCCCCGGCUAACUACGUGCCAGCAGCCGCGGUAAUACGUAGGGGGCAAGCGUUAUCCGGAUUUACUGGGUGUAAAGGGAGCGUAGACGGCAGCACAAGUCUGGAGUGAAAUGCCGGGGCUUAACCCCGGAACUGCCUUGGAAACUGUGCAGCUAGAGUGCAGGAGAGGUAAGUGGAAUUCCUAGUGUAGCGGUGAAAUGCGUAGAUAUGAGGAGGAACACCAGUGGCGAAGGCGGCUUACUGGACUGUAACUGACGUUGAGGCUCGAAAGCGUGGGGAGCAAACAGGAUUAGAUACCCGAGUAGUC